UACGUAGGGGGCUAGCGUUGUCCGGAAUCAUUGGGCGUAAAGCGCGUGUAGGCGGUCCGGUAAGUCCGCUGUGAAAGUCAAGGGCUCAACCCUUGAAUGCCGGUUGAUACUGUCGGGCUAGAGUCCGGAAGAGGCGAGUGGAAUUCCCGGUGUAGCGGUGAAAUGCGUAGAUAUUGGAAAGACCACCAAUGGCGAAGGCACUCUACUGGGCCAUUACUGACACUGAGAGACGAAAGCUAGGGGAGCAAAUGGG
RNAcentral lists this ribosomal RNA (253 nucleotides) under uncultured bacterium. Its description in RNAcentral is "partial 16S ribosomal RNA". It matches the Rfam family "Bacterial small subunit ribosomal RNA", at positions 524 to 776 of the family's 1533-position model. The record is from RNAcentral.